This 2896-nucleotide ribosomal RNA is filed under the name human gut metagenome. RNAcentral describes it as "bacterial LSU rRNA". It matches the Rfam family "Bacterial large subunit ribosomal RNA". The record is from RNAcentral.
GAAAGUAAGAAAGGGCGUAUGGCGGAUGCCUAGGCUCACGGAGGCGAUGAAGGACGUGAUAAGCUGCGAUAAGCUUCGGGUAGGUGCAAAUAACCCUUGAUCCGGAGAUUUCCGAAUGGGACAACCUAGCCGUCUGAAGGACGGUUACUCUUACCAAUGUAAGAGAGCUAACGCAGGGAACUGAAACAUCUUAGUACCUGCAGGAAGAGAAAAUAAAUGAAUGAUUCCCCCAGUAGUGGCGAGCGAACGGGGAACAGCCCAAACCAGUGGCGUCGCAAGGCGUGGCUGGGGUUGUAGGACCGCGACAUUGUAUGCAAAUCGUGAACAGAACACUUUGGAAAAUGUGACCAUAGACGGUGAUAGUCCAGUAUGUGAAGCGAAAUGCAGCAUAGCGGUAUCCUGAGUAACGCGGGACACGAGGAAUCCUGCGCGAAUCUGCCGGGACCAUCCGGUAAGGCUAAAUACUCCCGUGAGACCGAUAGCGAACGAGUACUGUGAAGGAAAGGUGAAAAGAACCCCGAGCAGGGGAGUGAAAUAGUUCCUGAAACCAUACGCCUACAAGCGGUCGGAGCAUCUUACGAUGUGACGGCGUGCCUUUUGCAUAAUGAUCCUACGAGUUACCGUCACUGGCGAGGUUGAGUGUCAUGAGACACGUAGCCGCAGUGAAAGCGAGCCUGAAUAGGGCGCAUAGUCAGUGGGGGUAGACGCGAAACCAAGUGAUCUACACUUGGCCAGGAUGAAGUCCCGGUAACACGGGAUGGAGGUCCGCACCAAUAAGCGUUGAAAAGCUUCUGGAUGAGCCGAGUGUAGGAGUGAAAGGCCAAUCAAACUUGGAGAUAGCUCGUACUCCCCGAAAGGCAUUUAGGUGCCGCGUCGGAUGGUCACCGUGAGAGGUAGAGCGACCGAUAGGACAAGAGGGCUUCACCGCCUAUCGAGUCCUGACGAACUCCGAAUGCUCACGGUCUGCAGUCCGGCAGUAAGGGGGCGGGUGCUAAGGUCCGUCCCCGAGAGGAGAAGAAUCCAGACCGCCGUCUAAGGUCCCGGAGUUCUGCCUGAGUUAGUCUAACGAAGUCUGGUCCCUAUGACAGCUAGGAUGUUGGCUUGGAAGCAGCCAUUCAUUCAAAGAGUGCGUAACAGCUCACUAGUCGAGGGUCCGGGCAUGGAUAAUAAUCGGGUAUAAGGCAGACACCGAAGGCGCGGGAUAGCAUUUAAGAAAGUAUCGGUAGGGGAGCAUACUCACAGCGUCGAAUGGUGUACGUAAGUUAUCCUGGAGCGGUGAGUAAAGCAAAUGUAGGAAUAAGUAACGAUAAGGAGGGUUAGAUUCCCUCCCGCUGUAAGACCAAGGUUUCCCGGGCAAUGCCAAUCAGCCCGGGGUCAGUCGGGUCCUAAGUCUAAGCCGAACGGCGAUGGCGAUGGCAGAGACGGUUAAUAUUCCGUCACUGCCGCAUGGGGCGACGUGGAGACGGAGCAGUGAAACCACCGCGGGGCGACGGAAGUCCCCGUUGAAGAGUGUAGGUGUUGAGGAUGGCAGGCAAAUCCACCAUCCGAGCUGAACUUGAUAGUAUGGAGUCUUCUUCGGAAGAAUCCAAUAGUGUGGGUAAUCAUACUCCCGAGAAAAUCCGCUAAGCUUAACCCAUGCGGCACCCGUACCGCAAACGGACACACGUGGUCGGGUAGAACAUACUAAGGCGUUGAGAGAUUCAUGGUUAAGGAACUAGGCAAAUUGACCCUGUAACUUCGGGAUAAAGGGUCCUCGUGAUGAGCGAGGCGCAGAGAAUAGGUCCAGGCAACUGUUUAACAAAAACACAGGGCUGUGCAAACUCGAAAGAUGACGUAUACAGCCUGACACCUGCCCGGUGCCGGAAGGUUAAGAGGAGAUGUCACUCGCAAGAGGAAGCAUUGAAUUGAAGCCCCGGUAAACGGCGGCCGUAACUAUAACGGUCCUAAGGUAGCGAAAUUCCUUGUCGGGUAAGUUCCGACCUGCACGAAUGGUGUAAUGAUCUGGACGCUGUCUCAACCGUGAGCUCAGUGAAAUUGUAGUAUCGGUGAAGAUGCCGAUUACCCGCGAUGGGACGAAAAGACCCCGUGAACCUUUACUACAGCUUAGCAUUGACCUUGGUCAUCCGAUGUGUAGGAUAGGCCGGAGGCUUUGAAGCGGGAGCGCCAGCUUUCGUGGAGCCAUCCUUGAAAUACGGCCCUUUGGCUGUCUGAGGUCUAACGCGCAGAUGCGCGGACACUGCUUGGUGGGUAGUUUGACUGGGGUGGUCGCCUCCAAAAGCGUAACGGAGGCUUCCAAAGGUGCCCUCGGGUCGAUUGGUAACCGACCUCAAAGAGUGCAAUGGCAUAAGGGCGCUUGACUGGGAGGCAGACAUGCCGAGCAGGCAGGAAACUGGGGCAUAGUGAUCCGGCGGAUGUGUAUGGAAACUCCGUCGCUCAAAGGAUAAAAGGUACUCCGGGGAUAACAGGCUGAUCCCCCCCAAGAGCUCAUAUCGACGGGGUGGUUUGGCACCUCGAUGUCGGCUCGUCACAUCCUGGGGCUGGAGAAGGUCCCAAGGGUUGGGCUGUUCGCCCAUUAAAGUGGCACGCGAGCUGGGUUCAGAACGUCGUGAGACAGUUCGGUCUCUAUCUAUCGUGGGCGUGGGAGUUUUGAGUGGUGCCGUCACUAGUACGAGAGGACCGUGAUGGACAGACCUCCGGUUUACCAGUUGUGCCGCCAGGCGCACCGCUGGGUAUCUGAGUCUGGAUUGGAUAAGCGCUGAAAGCAUCUAAGUGCGAAGCCAGCCGCAAGAUGAGAACUCCAUUGAGGGUCGUCAGAGACGAUGACGUUGAUAGGAUGCAGGUGUAAAGACAGCGAUGUCAAAGCCGAGCAUUACUAAUUGCCCGAACACUUUCUUUA